UCGGAAGAGGAUGGGCAUGCGGCGCAUUAGCUUGACGGCGGGGUAACGGCCCACCGUGGCGACGAUGCGUAGGGGUUCUGAGAGGAAGGUCCCCCACACUGGUACUGAGACACGGACCAGACUCCUACGGGAGGCAGCAGUGAGGAAUAUUGGUCAAUGGGAGAGAUCCUGAACCAGCCAAGCCGCGUGAGGGAAGACGGCCUAUGGGUUGUAAACCUCUUUUGUCGGAGAACAAAACCCGGGACGUGUCCCGGACUGCGUGUAUCCGAAGAAAAAGCAUCGGCUAACUCCGUGCCAGCAGCCGCGGUAAUACGGAGGAUGCGAGCGUUAUCCGGAUUUAUUGGGUUUAAAGGGUGCGUAGGCGGUCCGUUAAGUCAGCGGUAAAAUUGCGGGGCUCAACCCCGUCGAGCCGUUGAAACUGGCAGACUUGAGUUGGCGAGAAGUACGCGGAAUGCGCGGUGUAGCGGUGAAAUGCAUAGAUAUCGCGCAGAACUCCGAUUGCGAAGGCAGCGUACCGGCGCCAGACUGACGCUGAGGCACGAAAGCGUGGGGAUCGAACAGGAUUAGAUACCCUGGUAGUCCACGCAGUAAACGAUGAAUGCUGGUUGUCCGGGUCGAAUGAGACCUGG
Molecule: ribosomal RNA, 629 nt
Filed under: uncultured bacterium
Lineage: Bacteria
Description: bacterial SSU rRNA
Rfam family: Bacterial small subunit ribosomal RNA
Source: RNAcentral